UUGGCGUGGUGCGACAGCUUGCGUACCCCAGUGACCCUCGGAGCUAUGCCGGCUGGAGCCUUGUGCUCCUGGUAGGGCCACCCAUGCCGGACAGGUCUGUGCAGGGUAGGGGUCAGACAAAGAGGUGCACACACUGGUCCUCCAGGUCGGAGGUUCGGCUUGGGACUAACGACCCCAUCUGGUAAAAAUUGACGCGUUACAGAACACCGGGAAUUUGUGAAAGAGAGAAGGACAUUGUUUCACAAACCCUCCAGGAGUCAAACCUGCAACUUUGCUGCUCAGGACCUUCACUCCCAUCCUCUGAAGCUGAAGAGGACAAGAUCCGACCACCUCCUCCUCCUCCACUCGCAGGCUUCCUCUCACUGAAGGCCCACUUCAGACGAGCAAAGACGCCACAGACGGGCGUCCUCGCCGUCGUGUGCAUGCAGACGGUCACCCGGAGAUAAAAGGGGAGAUUGGCAGCUCUGAGUGGCCAGCAGAUGAAGCGGCUGGCACGCUAAUGAAUAGAACGCUGAUUGCAGGAUCCCCAAGAUGCAAAUUAUUGUGCCUGCCACCCCUGACGACCGGCAAUUACCGGGCCGCCACGGCGGACGCCUCGUGCAUAUUCAUUGCUCCUGCUGGGCAUAUUGAUCAACAACUUACUUCGAGCAAGAAGCACAGAAACGUAUCACGUAGCUAAGUAAAAAAAAAAUAUAUAUACAGUAUAUAUAUAAAAAAAUAAUAAAACUUUGCUUAUUGUCAAAAAUGACACCGUGAUAUCGAGUAGGACAAUCCCUUUAAUUACGCGAGGAGUAUUUAUUUUAAUCAGAACCAGGUAUGGGCUAAUUGAUAAUGUGUCACAUUCAAGAAGUGACAAAAUAUGCCAUUCAUUGGAAAAUUGUCUUAAUUCAAAUAUGAAUUACCACACAUGCUUUAACUAAUUAACUGUAUUUAACGUUUACUGCCCUUCCGGAAUGACAUGCAGCUUUAAGUUUUGCCUUAUGACAAAUAUUCCAGUUUUUAUAGACUCAUUUUUUGCAUAUAAGUGAAAGAAGGGUUGACUUGAUAAACUCUUAAGCAUCUAAAGUCUAUGAUAUUAUUUCACAGUUGGACAGUCUUUUCUGGCCUCACACCAAACUCCAUUGAGAAAAUCCAAAAUUUUUCACCACAGCUCAAUAAGAGUUGUUAAUCCAAUAUUGUCUCCAUCAAAAAGUUCAAAUGUAAGAUACUGUCACUUCAGUGUUUUGAAUCCUUUGUUUGGAUUUACCUAAGUGACACAAAUGUGCCAGAACAAGGCAGCAGGAGACCAGCAGCUCCUGUGCUCCCAUGAGCUAAAAAUGCUGAUUUUCUCUAUGGACACUGGUGCGACAGUAAGAAAGAGUGCUUUACAAAACUUCAGUUUUAGCA
This is a long non-coding RNA of Solea solea (common sole), 1386 nucleotides long. RefSeq lists it as uncharacterized. The record is from RefSeq and is a predicted model, not a curated record. The transcript has 5 exons. NCBI's taxonomy places the organism in Eukaryota, Metazoa, Chordata, Actinopteri, Pleuronectiformes, Soleidae.